GUGGAGGUCCGAACCCACGAGCGUUGAAAAGCUCGGGGAUGACUUGUGGGUAGCGGUGAAAUUCCAAUCGAGCCCGGAGAUAGCUGGUUCUCCCCGAAAUAGCUUUAGGGCUAGCCUCAAGGUGAGAGAUACGGAGGUAGAGCACUGAAUGUCCUAGGGGGUAUUGCACCUACCGAAGACUAUCAAACUCCGAAUGCCGUCAUCUUAUACUUGGGAGUCAGACUGUGGGUGAUAAGAUUCAUAGUCGAAAGGGCAACAGCCCAGAUCGUCAGCUAAGGUCCCUAAAUGUAAGUUAAGUGGUAAAGGAUGUGGGAUUGCACAGACAACCAGGAUGUUGGCUUAGAAGCAGCCACUCAUUCAAAGAGUGCGUAAUAGCUCACUGGUCGAGUGAUCCUGCGCCGAAGAUUUCCGGGGCUAAAACUUACUACCGAAGCUACGGCAUCAGUAAUGAUGGGUAGGGGAGCUUCCCAUACGGGUUGAAGCAUGACCGUAAGGACAUGUGGACAGUAUGGGAGUGAGAAUGUUGGCAUGAGUAGCGAGAUGUGGGUGAGAAUCCCACAGGCCGUAAACCCAAGGUUUCCAGGGGAAGGUUCGUCCGCCCUGGGUUAGUCGGGACCUAAGCUGAGGCCGAAAGGCGUAGGUGAUGGACAACAGGUUGAUAUUCCUGUACUACCGAUAACCGUUUGAGAGAAGGGAUGACACAGUAGGAUAAGCUAAGCACACUGUUGGUUAUGUGUGCCCAAGCAUUGAGGCAGUCAAAGUAGGUAAAUCCGCUUUGAUAAUGCUGGGAUGUGAUGGGGAGCGAAAUUUAGUAGCGAAGUAGCUGAUUUCACACUGUCAAGAAAAGUCUCUAUCGAGGUUAAAGGUACCCGUACCGCAAACCGACACAGGUGGGUGAGGAGAGUAUCCUAAGGCCAGCGAGAGAACUGUUGUUAAGGAACUCGGCAAAAUGACCCCGUAACUUAGGGAUAAGGGGUGCCACCAUCAGGUGGCCGCAGAGAAUAGGCCCAAGCGACUGUUUACCAAAAACAUAGGUUUCUGCUAAGUCGCAAGACGAUGUAUAGGAGCUGACGCCUGCCCGGUGCUGGAAGGUUAAGGGGAUCUGUUAGAGCAAUCGAAGCAGUGAACUUAAGCCCCAGUAAACGGCGGCCGUAACUAUAACGGUCCUAAGGUAGCGAAAUUCCUUGUCGGGUAAGUUCCGACCCGCACGAAAGGCGUAACGAUUUGGGCACUGUCUCAACAACAGACUCGGUGAAAUUGUAAUUCCGGUGAAGAUGCCGGAUACCUGCGACAGGACGGAAAGACCCCAUGGAGCUUUACUGUAGCUUGACAUUGGGUCUUGGUACUACAUGUACAGGAUAGGUGGGAGGCUUUGAAACCAGGACGCCAGUUUUGGCGGAGCCAUCCUUGGGAUACCACCCUUGUAGUACUGGGACUCUAACCAUAGGCCAUGAAUCUGGUCUUGGGACACUGUCAGGUGGGCAGUUUGACUGGGGCGGUCGCCUCCCAAAAGGUAACGGAGGCGCUCAAAGGUUCUCUCAGUACGGUCGGAAAUCGUACGUAGAGUGUAAAGGCAAAAGAGAGCUUGAUUGCAAGACAUACAGGUCGAGCAAGGAUGAAAAUCGGACUUAGUGAUCCGGUGGUUCUGCGUGGAAGGGCCAUCGCUCAACGGAUAAAAGCUACCCUGGGGAUAACAGGCUUAUCUCCCCCAAGAGUCCACAUCGACGGGGAGGUUUGGCACCUCGAUGUCGGCUCAUCACAUCCUGGGGCUGUAGUAGGUCCCAAGGGUUGGGCUGUUCGCCCAUUAAAGUGGUACGCGAGCUGGGUUCAGAACGUCGUGAGACAGUUCGGUCCCUAUCCGUCGCAGGCGUAGGAAAUUUGAGAAGACCUGUCCUUAGUACGAGAGGACCGGGAUGGACGUACCUCUGGUGUACCAGUUGUCCUGCCAAGGGCAUGGCUGGGUAGCUAUGUACGGAAUGGAUAAGCGCUGAAAGCAUCUAAGCGCGAAGCCAACUUCAAGAUAAGAUUUCCCACCGCAAGGGUAAGACCCCAGAAAGACUAUCUGGUUGA
Molecule: ribosomal RNA, 2070 nt
Filed under: Clostridioides difficile
Lineage: Bacteria; Bacillati; Bacillota; Clostridia; Peptostreptococcales; Peptostreptococcaceae
Description: bacterial LSU rRNA
Rfam family: Bacterial large subunit ribosomal RNA
Source: RNAcentral